Molecule: ribosomal RNA, 253 nt
Filed under: uncultured bacterium
Lineage: Bacteria
Description: partial 16S ribosomal RNA
Rfam family: Bacterial small subunit ribosomal RNA
Source: RNAcentral
UACGAAGGGUGCAAGCGUUGUUCGGAAUCAUUGGGCGUAAAGCGCGCGCAGGCGGAUCAGCAAGUCAGGUGUGAAAUCUCGGGGCUCAACCCCGAAACUGCGCCUGAAACUGCUAGUCUAGAAUGUCGGAGGGGGCAGGGGAAUUUCACGUGUAGGGGUAAAAUCCGUAGAGAUGUGAAGGAACACCGGGGGCGAAGGCGCCUGCCUGGACGACUAUUGACGCUGAGGCGCGAAAGCGUGGGGAGCAAACAGG